Molecule: long non-coding RNA, 883 nt
Organism: Pecten maximus
Lineage: Eukaryota; Metazoa; Mollusca; Bivalvia; Pectinida; Pectinidae
Exons: 2
Source: RefSeq, a predicted model, not a curated record
AGUAUAGGUUCUAAUUGACAGUGGAGAGAUAAGGGUCCAGUUAAUUAGUUGGAUGAGUCUUAUCAGUAGUAGGAUUAUUUAGACUGGUGUAAUAGUCUUAAGGUCCAUAGAGUGAAUAGGUAGUUAUUUCUAUAGGUUAUACAUGUAGUUAAGGAUAGUCAUAAUAAAGUAGAAGCUAGAGUACACUGUAGUUACUUAGUGCCUAGUGUUUAUAUAUAGAUAUGAGGUCAUUAGUGUAGAUUUAGUAGGUCUUGUUAUAUAUAUAGCUAUGAGGUCAUUGGUGUUGACUGAAUAGGUCUUGUUAUAUAUAUAGCUAUGAGGUCAUUGGUGCGGACAGAGUAGGUCCAGAUAUAUUUAGUAUGAGGUCAUCUAGGAAGGGGGAUGGAUGAUGUCAUUCUAAGAAUAGAGAGAUAGCAGGAGUAAUUAUAAGGGGUUGAGACAAAAACAGAGGGGAGUUGAGAGUAGGGAGUUCUUAGAGUAAAGAGAUAGAGAGAGGUAGUGUUAUAGCGGAGAGUAGAUUUGGACUUGGGGAAAACUGGAGAAGUUUGGAUUCACUUUCCAGGAUUCAGUGUAGUUUAUAGUUGAAUUGUAGCUUAGUUUAGUGCUUUAGUUUUAUGUAGUUAUUUAGUGACAACUUGAGAUGACUUUACUUUACUUUUGGAUUACUUUACUUUACUUUUGGGAUUACUUUACUUUACUUUUGGGAUUACUUUACUUUACUUUUGGAUUACUUUACUCGUGAGAUUUAUUUAUCUUUAUAUUGGGAUUUAUCGGAAAAGCCUGGAAGACACAUUGGAAGUUAUUAAAUUGAUUGGCAAGUAAUUUUAAUAAACCUUGUUGUUCUGAAAUAAACGUAUACUUAAAUAAAACUGAAGGAAUUUUA